CAGCAGCCACGGGAAUACAGAGGGUGCGAGCGUUAAUCGGAUUUACUGGGCGUAAAGCGUGCGUAGGCGGCUUUUUAAGUCGGACGUGAAAUCCCUGAGCUUAACUUAGGAAUUGCAUUCGAUACUGGGAAGCUAGAGUAUGGGAGAGGAUGGUAGAAUUCCAGGUGUAGCGGUGAAAUGCGUAGAGAUCUGGAGGAAUACCGAUGGCGAAGGCAGCCAUCUGGCCUAAUACUGACGCUGAGGUACGAAAGCAUGGGGAGCAAACAGGAUUAGAUACCCCAGUAGUCCCUGUCUCUUAUAA
This 301-nucleotide ribosomal RNA is filed under the name uncultured bacterium. RNAcentral describes it as "partial 16S ribosomal RNA". It matches the Rfam family "Bacterial small subunit ribosomal RNA", at positions 509 to 809 of the family's 1533-position model. The record is from RNAcentral.